RNAcentral lists this ribosomal RNA (497 nucleotides) under Moraxella bovis. Its description in RNAcentral is "bacterial SSU rRNA". It matches the Rfam family "Bacterial small subunit ribosomal RNA", at positions 99 to 597 of the family's 1533-position model. Lineage: Bacteria; Pseudomonadati; Pseudomonadota; Gammaproteobacteria; Moraxellales; Moraxellaceae. The record is from RNAcentral.
CGAACGGGUGAGUAAUGCUUAGGAAUCUGCCUAGUAGUGGGGGAUAACUAUCCGAAAGGAUAGCUAAUACCGCAUACGACCUACGGGUGAAAGGGGGCUUUUAGCUCUCGCUAUUAGAUGAGCCUAAGUCGGAUUAGCUAGUUGGUGGGGUAAAGGCCUACCAAGGCGACGAUCUGUAGCUGGUCUGAGAGGAUGAUCAGCCACACUGGGACUGAGACACGGCCCAGACUCCUACGGGAGGCAGCAGUGGGGAAUAUUGGACAAUGGGCGAAAGCCUGAUCCAGCCAUGCCGCGUGUGUGAAGAAGGCCUUUUGGUUGUAAAGCACUUUAAGUAGGGAGGAAAAGCUUGUGGUUAAUACCCACAAGCCCUGACGUUACCUACAGAAUAAGCACCGGCUAACUCUGUGCCAGCAGCCGCGGUAAUACAGAGGGUGCAAGCGUUAAUCGGAAUUACUGGGCGUAAAGCGAGCGUACGUGGUCAUUUAAGUCAGAUGUGA